RNAcentral lists this ribosomal RNA (623 nucleotides) under uncultured fungus. Its description in RNAcentral is "eukaryotic LSU rRNA". It matches the Rfam family "Eukaryotic large subunit ribosomal RNA", at positions 24 to 664 of the family's 3401-position model. The record is from RNAcentral. Lineage: Eukaryota; Fungi.
CCCGCUGAACUUAAGCAUAUCAAUAAGCGGAGGAAAAGAAACCAACAGGGAUUGCCUUAGUAACGGCGAGUGAAGCGGCAACAGCUCAAAUUUGAAAUCUGGCCUCGCGGUCCGAAUUGUAAUUUGUAGAGGAUGCUUCGAGCGUGGCCCUGGUCUAAGUUCCUUGGAACAGGACGUCAUAGAGGGUGAGAAUCCCGUAUGUGACUGGGGCCCUAAGCUCAUGUGAAGCUCCUUCGACGAGUCGAGUUGUUUGGGAAUGCAGCUCAAAAUGGGUGGUAAAUUUCAUCUAAAGCUAAAUAUUGGCCAGAGACCGAUAGCGCACAAGUAGAGUGAUCGAAAGAUGAAAAGCACUUUGGAAAGAGAGUUAAACAGUACGUGAAAUUGUUGAAAGGGAAGCGCUUGCAACCAGACUUGCAUGCAGUCGAUCAUCCGAUGUUUUCACCGGUGCACGCGAUUGUAUUCAGGCCAGCAUCAGUUUUGGUGGUUAGAUAAAGACUGUGGGAAUGUAGCUUCUUUCGGGGAGUGUUAUAGCCUGCGGUGUAAUGUAGCCUACUGGGACUGAGGACCGCGCUUCGGCUAGGAUGCUGGCGUAAUGGUUGUAAGCGACCCGUCUUGAAACACGG